Pseudopipra pipra is the source of this 871-nucleotide long non-coding RNA. RefSeq lists it as uncharacterized. The record is from RefSeq and is a predicted model, not a curated record. The transcript is spliced from 2 exons. NCBI's taxonomy places the organism in Eukaryota, Metazoa, Chordata, Aves, Passeriformes, Pipridae.
GGGGGUGUGGGGGUGUGUGUGCGCGCGCGCGCAAUUUUAACCUUUUUUUCUCCGUUGCUCUCGCUUACUUUUAGGUGGACUCAGUAAUAAAUUUCCGCGGUCUUGUUUUUUACAGGUGCUGGGCAGCACCGCAGCACAGCUGAUUUCAAGAAAGUCCGCUGGCGCUGGUGCAAAUACCAUCCCGUUAUCCGCAAGGAAUUAGGUGCGAGCCCGGAGUCCCCGUUGGGAGUUAAACAGCGCUCAGGGCGUCCCGGCUCUUGGGAGCAGGGCUGGCGGUGUAGUUUCUCCUAUCAGCCUGGAGACGGGAGAGCCGCGUUCGGAAGCACCUCCCUCCGCCCCCGGAGACCGACUGAUUUUGAAAAGCCCGCGCUGCGUAAAGAUUGGCUGCCCCGCUCUUGGGCUUUUCUACUGCCCAGUAGUUUUCAGGUUAAAAAGGCGUUUCACCUUUUAUAAGUUCACUCGGAAGAGGCUUAAGAACUUCCUGGUCCUCCACUUCGGUGCUGAAACUCCUGCACCUUGGCGCUGCCGGGCUCGGCUCUUAGCUGGGUGUUCGUUUCGUCAAUGGAGGCGCUCGGAGAAGGCGUUGGGCGUGGUAGGAACCCGCGGGGGUCGGAGCCUCCCUCGUGUCUCCCCCUAACCCUGAAACGGCCUCGUUUCCCCGAUGAAUCUGUUUUCCUAAAUAUGGGUUCUUUCAGCUGGCGUGCAAGUCAUAUACAGAGUCGAAAUAUUUGAUUUUAUAUCAUAUCAAUGCAGAGAUGGGUUCUAGGUGGAAUAUCCACAAGGCUAGUACACUUUCAGUAUGCCAGGUUUUUUCAUUUUUAUGGAAUUCGAACAAUAAAAAGCUGGUAUUUUCUGUAUACGUAACAACCUA